CAGUUGGCGCUGCCGUUACAACUGCCUGUGAACGCUUUCAGCACCGUCAAGUUUGUGAAUCUCGGAUUUGACCACCAUUACGUGGAGAGGCCGCAGCCUGUCAAGAUGGAAGUAUUCACAAAUCGAUUAGGAAGCAUGUGCGUGUGCUACAGUCAGCCUGCUUGCGACAAACCAGAGCUCAUCUAUUCGGUGGUUCUCGUUCACAAAGGUGUGUGUGUGUGU
Molecule: long non-coding RNA, 222 nt
Organism: Hippocampus comes (tiger tail seahorse)
Lineage: Eukaryota; Metazoa; Chordata; Actinopteri; Syngnathiformes; Syngnathidae
Exons: 3
Source: RefSeq, a predicted model, not a curated record